Molecule: ribosomal RNA, 497 nt
Filed under: uncultured bacterium
Lineage: Bacteria
Description: bacterial SSU rRNA
Rfam family: Bacterial small subunit ribosomal RNA
Source: RNAcentral
GGCACCUGAUCUGUCAAUGCGCGUGAGUGAUGAAGGCCUUAGGGUUGUAAAGCUCUUUUACCGGCGGACGAUGAUGACGGUACCCCGGAGAAUAAGCCCCGGCUAACUUCGUGCCAGCAGCCGCGGUAAUACGAAGGGGGCGAGCGUUGUUCGGAGUUACUGGGCGUAAAGGGCGCGUAUGCGGCGCUCCAAGUUAGGCGUGAAAGCCCCGGGCUCAAACUGGGAAUUGCGCUUAAGACUGGAGUGCUCGAGUGCGGAAGAGGUGAGUGGAAUUCCCAGUGUAGAGGUGAAAUUCGUAGAUAUAGGGAAGAACACCAGUGGCGAAGGCGGAUCACUGGCCCGCAAUUGACGCUGAGGCGCGAAAGCGUGGGGAGCAAACAGGAUUAGAUACCCUGGUAGUACACGCCGUAAACGAUGAGUGCUAGACGUAGGGGGACUCAGUCCCUUGGUGUCGCAGCUAACGCAUGAAGCACUCCGACUGUGGAGUACGGCCGCAA